This 524-nucleotide ribosomal RNA is filed under the name uncultured Fusarium. RNAcentral's name for it is "eukaryotic LSU rRNA". The stretch from base 153 to 306 matches the Rfam family "5.8S ribosomal RNA". The record is from RNAcentral. Lineage: Eukaryota; Fungi; Ascomycota; Sordariomycetes; Hypocreales; Nectriaceae.
GGGGGUACCCGAGGGGCGCUCCGAACCCCUGUGACAUACCUUAUGUUGCCUCGGCGGAUCAGCCCGCGCCCCGUAAAAAGGGACGGCCCGCCGCAGGAACCCUAAACUCUGUUUUUAGUGGAACUUCUGAGUAUAAAAAACAAAUAAAUCAAAACUUUCAACAACGGAUCUCUUGGUUCUGGCAUCGAUGAAGAACGCAGCAAAAUGCGAUAAGUAAUGUGAAUUGCAGAAUUCAGUGAAUCAUCGAAUCUUUGAACGCACAUUGCGCCCGCCAGUAUUCUGGCGGGCAUGCCUGUUCGAGCGUCAUUUCAACCCUCAAGCCCAGCUUGGUGUUGGGAGCUGCAGUCCUGCUGCACUCCCCAAAUACAUUGGCGGUCACGUCGAGCUUCCAUAGCGUAGUAAUUUACACAUCGUUACUGGUAAUCGUCGCGGCCACGCCGUUAAACCCCAACUUCUGAAUGUUGACCUCGGAUCAGGUAGGAAUACCCGCUGAACUUAAGCAUAUCAAUAAGCGGAGGAAUCCG